Molecule: long non-coding RNA, 3246 nt
Organism: Gallus gallus (chicken)
Lineage: Eukaryota; Metazoa; Chordata; Aves; Galliformes; Phasianidae
Exons: 2
Source: RefSeq, a predicted model, not a curated record
GGAGGGGACAAACUGUUGAGAGGAAAGCAGGGAGGAUGCUAAAGAGACCCUGAAAAGCAGGGAGGAGUUAGGAGCCUUUCAGCAUGAGAAGGGAGAGCUGCCCCCUCAGCAGGGCUGAGGCUCGGAGUCCAUCCUAGAUGAUGUCGUGAGCAUUCCCCCAGAACUCAACAAGGAUAUAAAGUGCCAAGUGAAUGAUGCUGUGGGGUGUCUUUACAAGAAUAGCAUUACCUUAAAUAAACUAGUCAUCCUUGACUACAGGAAGAAGAUCUAGAGUGGUUUGGAGCAGGAGCUGGUUUUCUGGAGCUUACUCCCCUCCGUCAGCUAUGCUACGCUAGAAAACAGCCACGUGUGGAAGUGCUAACUGAGAUGACAAAUCAGUACAUGGCAAACCUGGGGAAACCACCAAGGUAGCUGUGCUGCAGGUUCUGUGCAUCGCUGCAGAGCCAGCGUAUCCUGAGCUGUCCUCAGAAAGCCCUGGAGCAUUCUGGGCUCUGUGUCCUCUAAAACAUGCUGCAGCCACCAGACAGCAAACUCGCAGGCUGCUGUAAGGACUGACGUGGGCUUGGCAGCUCCUGGUGUGAUUGAGGCGGAAUGAGUUUCCUCUGAUCAUCUCACUGCAGGUGUUGCGCUGAGGAUGCUGAAUCCUACCUGUAUCAAGGACUUCUGCAAGGAUCCUCUCUUGUGGCUGAAAAUCUCCAUGGGAAUGAGUGCUCGUGUUCAUGUUUCUGAAUUUUGUACAUAUCUUUCUACUUCAAUCAGCAAUUGUCAGCGAGUCUAAAUUGAAUGCAGCUUGUACGCGUAUUUCUUUGGGCAUCAUGGCCAUAAACAAGGCUCGGUGGUUUCAACCCUGUCUGCCAACAGUGCCAACUUUCAUGCUGUCAUUCCUUUUUCUCCCUCCCCCUCCUCUCAGUUCCCAUCAUUUGGCCUUCUGACUUGCCAAGAACUACUACCUGUUCUUUGGGAAAUGUUCUUGCUAUGAGUUACCCACGGAAAGUCUGAGAGGGUAAAUAUAUCUGGUUUAUUUUGAGGAAAUUUGCAUAGAUGACCAUAGCUCUUGCAUUUCUGAGUGCAUAUCUUCCUACCCAGCUUGUCAUCUGUAUGUAGAGCCUCUGAGACUGUGGUGGCUUCUGCACAUGCAAAAUCUGUUUUGUUGAGUGAAUGUCAAUGCUUUCUGGAUGUAAACCUGUGUAUAUAAAAUCAAGGCUUGAAACAGGAGAUUUGAGGAUGUGUCCCUCGUGUCUUGACCUUGGGAAUCAAGGCUGGCAGAAGUGAUAACACCAGAUUAUUACCUUUCUUCUUAACCAGCAAAGGAUGAGGAAAGUGGAAAUCAAAAGGUGAUUUCUAGCAGUUGUUCAGUGGAGAAUACAGUAAGCUUGGGGCCGUGUGGGACCUGCACUGACCUCAGCCCCCACCAAAGUCCUUCCAGCAUCACUGCUGAAAUGUCAUCUGGUAGCCACUGAGUAGGACGGCAGGCACAGGGGCUUCCCCACAACCUGCCACUAUUAUUAGGCUGCUUACAUCUCCCUUUUGUGGGCUUGCAGGCAGCUCACUGUGGGGCACAAAGUGAAGAAUAAAAGUCUGUUCUGGGUGAAUAGUGGUCAAUGUGCCAGCUUUGGUAUUACUUCUCACUUUCUUUGGUGAAGAAGGGUUUUGGAAGGUAUUUAGUCUCUCUUGCCGAUGUGAAACUUAACAGUUUCAUGGGGAGGAGGGGAAAAGGAGGGCAGAAGUGUUAACCUUACAAAUGUUUGAUGCAGAGCUAAUUUGCACACUGCAGCUUCCUGGGCAGCCUGGACAAACAUCUGAGCUGUGCAUGUCACUGAGCUGUGUGCAGCACUGUACCUGACUUCCCAUUGUAUGCAUUCUCUGUCCAACUAGAAAGCCAACGAAAGCCCUCCCAUGGCCCAGCUCACCAUUAUCCUGCUGCUCCUACGACAUUGCAUGUAAGCACAAGUUUAGUUCAAUUCGUUCAUCUUUUGCAAUGCCCCAAUUCAUCACCUCUGAGUGUUUUAAAAUACUUUAAUCCUUGCAUGCUCCUGCUCUCCUUGUCCUCCAGGGAGCCCUAAUUCCCACAGGCACCAUUUGGCUACCGACGGAAAUUGCACACCUGCUUCUUGCUGCUCCUUGCCAAGUGCUGCAAUGCUUGCUUCCCUCUUAUCGGCCCCUUCUGGCACAGGAAUUCAAACCUCUCCUAAUGUGUGCCUUUGGUUGCUUGGUAAAGAAGGAAGGUUAAUGACUGGGGUGGGUCAGAGGAGGAAAGACAUCAUCUCGUGCUCUGGCUUAGGUGGGAGGGAAGGUGGCAGUCACCUGUCACCACUGACCCAUGGGUUUUGGACACAGGUUUGUGUACACCUGAUUACUGUGAGAUGCCUUGAACUGGUUUUCCAUCGCUUUGCGCUGAGCAAUGAUGGAUGCAUUUCUGCCUGUGGUAUCAUUAUCCUCUGCCUACCCCCAGAGCAGCCUCAUCAGUUGGAGUUUGCCAUGCAGUCAUUAGGGGAGCUCUAACAAAGGCUGCUCUGAAAGUGAGUGUCUUGAUGAGGCCCAAUUUAUUUCACAGUUGUUAUCCUGUUGUCCUGAGAUGGCAGCAUGGCACUGGAAGGGGUGUCUGGCUUAUUUAAGAAGCAGGCACAGAGAUGUUUCUUGGCCUGCAGGAGGAAUGGAGCAGCACGAGGCACUCCUGGUGCUCUUAAAUAAAAGAAACAGUUAUUUUUUCCCUGGUUUUAUUGGGAUUAACUGACCCACUGAAACACACCUUCAAGCUGGGUGCUGUAAAAUUUGCAGUGGAAAACCUGCUGUCAACCCAGCAGAACAGAGCUUCCAUGCUUUCUGCCUGGAGGUGGAGGUUUUCAGACACAGGUGGGAGCUGGGAGGUGCCCUUUGGGACCACAAGAUGUGAUGUGACUGUGCUGCAGUGUCAGCAUUGCAUCAGUCGUACAUCUCCUGGAUCCUGCUUCAUUUUCUCUCAUCUCCAGGCCCCCCACAGUCAUUCCCAUGUUUCCAUUGGUCUUUGAAGCCUCCUGCGGCCUUCAAGUGAUGCCUGCCAUCUUUCAGCUUCAGAGAUUUCUUCAGAAUAUCGUGACAGCAAGCUAAGAUGAGAGGAUUUUGAUGUCACAAAUGCAAGGAAAAAGCUGUGCCUGGUGUGCAGGACACUGCCCUUGGGAACAGGGCGGGUGAGUGCUGCUGGCUGGAUUUGCCAGUCUCACUGAUGCUCCUGAGGAGGAGCAAGGACAAGCACGUCUGCAUGAUUAA